Molecule: non-coding RNA, 74 nt
Filed under: unclassified sequences
Source: RNAcentral
GGCGGUCGAAAAGUCACACCUUCACGCGGUGACCGCCGUGAGUAACUAUGUAAUAUAGUGAAACCAAGAUGAUC